This 300-nucleotide ribosomal RNA is filed under the name uncultured archaeon. Its description in RNAcentral is "bacterial SSU rRNA". The stretch from base 57 to 300 matches the Rfam family "Bacterial small subunit ribosomal RNA", at positions 552 to 795 of the family's 1533-position model. The record is from RNAcentral.
ACGAGCUACGUGUGUGUAUGGUGUGUAAUGGGGAGUGAUAGAGAGGUAAACGGGAGUACGGGGCGUGAAGCGUGAGUAGGCGGUUUGUUAGGAGAGAUGAGAAAGCAGUGGGGUGAAGCUAGGUAUAGCAGUGCGGACAGGGGAGCUAGAGUCAAGCAGGGGUGGGUAGAAUUACAGGUGUAGCGGCGAAACGCGUAGAGAUCACGAGGAAUACCGGUGGAGAAGGCGGCCCCCUGGACAAAUACGGACGCUCAUGCACGAAAGCGUGAGGGGCAAACAGGAGUAGAUACCCGGGUAGUC